Brassica napus (rape) is the source of this 473-nucleotide long non-coding RNA. RefSeq lists it as uncharacterized. Lineage: Eukaryota; Viridiplantae; Streptophyta; Magnoliopsida; Brassicales; Brassicaceae. The transcript has 2 exons. The record is from RefSeq and is a predicted model, not a curated record.
UCUAUAUAGUUACGAUCUUUACAUCUCUUCAAAGUUCUAAAGGUCGAAUAUUUUGUUCUUGUUGUUUUGAUAGGGGGGUGAAGUCACAUCUGCUAAAGGGUUUAACGCUGGUGGUAUGUACGAUGGGUUAUGAGCUUCAGAGGAAAAGCCUGAUCUCGGUAUUGUAACCUGUGAUGUCGAUGCUGUACCUGCAGAUAACUGAACACAUCUUACAAGAAGCUGGACAAGGCACAAGUAGCAGAUGGUGGCGAGUUUGAAGGGUCGAUGGUGGAGGAGUUGUGGAAGAAGAAGAACAGUGAGGAAGCGGUUUGAACGGAUGAUUAUGAAAGGUUAUUAGUGGUAAAUUGAUAGGUGUUAAUGGUUUGUGUAAACAAUGAAAUGUUUGAUAGGUGUUAAUGGUUUAUGUUUGUGUUGUGGUUUGUAUAAACAAGAUAAGUUUUAUGGGUUUUUAAAUAAUUUAAUAUUUAUUGAGA